UACGUAGGGUGCGAGCGUUGUCCGGAAUUACUGGGCGUAAAGAGCUUGUAGGUGGUUUGUCGCGUUGUUCGUGAAAUCUCACGGCUCAACUGUGAGCGUGCGGGCGAUACGGGCAGACUAGAGUACUGCAGGGGAGACUGGAAUUCCUGGUGUAGCGGUGGAAUGCGCAGAUAUCAGGAGGAACACCGGUGGCGAAGGCGGGUCUCUGGGCCAUUACUGACGCUGAGGAGCGAAAGCGUGGGGAGCGAACAGG
Molecule: ribosomal RNA, 253 nt
Filed under: uncultured bacterium
Lineage: Bacteria
Description: partial 16S ribosomal RNA
Rfam family: Bacterial small subunit ribosomal RNA
Source: RNAcentral